UACAGAGGGUGCGAGCGUUAAUCGGAGUUACUGGGCGUAAAGGGCGCGUAGGCGGUGAUGUGAGUGCGAUGUGAAAGCCCUGGGCUUAACCUGGGAAGUGCAUCGUAAACUGCAUUGCUGGAGUAUAUGAGAGGGUGGCGGAAUUUCCGGUGUAGCGGUGAAAUGCGUAGAGAUCGGAAGGAACGUCGAUGGCGAAGGCAGCCACCUGGCAUAAUACUGACGCUGAGGCGCGAAAGCGUGGGGAGCAAACGGG
Molecule: ribosomal RNA, 253 nt
Filed under: uncultured bacterium
Lineage: Bacteria
Description: partial 16S ribosomal RNA
Rfam family: Bacterial small subunit ribosomal RNA
Source: RNAcentral